This 338-nucleotide ribosomal RNA is filed under the name uncultured Ruminococcus sp. RNAcentral describes it as "partial 16S ribosomal RNA". The record is from RNAcentral. Lineage: Bacteria; Bacillati; Bacillota; Clostridia; Eubacteriales; Oscillospiraceae.
GGAGUCUGGGCCGUGUCUCAGUCCCAAUGUGGCCGUUCAGUCUCUCAACCCGGCUACCGAUCGUAGUCUUGGUGAGCAUUUACCUCGCCAACAAACUAAUCGGACGCGAGCUCAUCUUGAAGCGAAAAACUAUGAUACAAACUUCAUGCGAAGAACGUAUAUUACGCGGUAUUAGCACUUGUUUCCAAAUGUUAUUCCCCACUUCAAGGCAGAUUACUCACGCGUUACUCACCCGUCCGCCACUAGUGAAAUAAAGAGCAAGCUCUCUACACACCCGUUCGACUUGCAUGUGUUAGGCAUACCGCCAGCGUUCGUCCUCGAGCCACGGAUCAAACUCU